Molecule: transfer RNA, 87 nt
Filed under: Armatimonadetes bacterium RBG_19FT_COMBO_69_19
Lineage: Bacteria; Bacillati; Armatimonadota
Description: tRNA-Tyr
Rfam family: tRNA
About the family: Transfer RNA (tRNA) molecules are approximately 80 nucleotides in length.
Source: RNAcentral
GGGCGGGUUGCUGAGCGGACAAAAGCGGCUGACUGUAGAUCAGCUGGCCCUGUGCCUUCGGAGGUUCGAAUCCUUCCCCGCCCACCA